GAUGAACGCUGGCGGCGUGCUUUAACACAUGCAAGUCGAACGGGAAACAUUUUAUUGAAGCUUCGGCAGAUUUAGCUUGUUUCCAGUGGCGGACGGGUGAGUAACGCGUGGGGUAACCUGCCUCACACUGGGGGAUAACAGUCAGAAAUGACUGCUAAUACCGCAUAAGCGCACGGAACCGCAUGGGUUUUUGUGUGAAAAAACUCCGGUGGUGUGAGAUGGAACCCGCGUUGGAUUAGCCAGUUGGCAGGGUAACGG
RNAcentral lists this ribosomal RNA (258 nucleotides) under uncultured bacterium. Its description in RNAcentral is "partial 16S ribosomal RNA". It matches the Rfam family "Bacterial small subunit ribosomal RNA", at positions 28 to 263 of the family's 1533-position model. The record is from RNAcentral.